AAAGAGAGUGAAUGCCACGAGGCGCUACAAAAGCUGUCUGAAGACUGAUUUCCCUAAGAACAAUGAACAUUCAUUUUGAUGCAUAUUUAGGUCAAGUACUGUUUUGAGUCUCAUUUUCUUAAUAUGCCAGCUUGGUAUUAGUGAUUGCUUCUAUUUAAUUUGUAAUGUGCUCAUAUUCUUGUACUAUUUACUGGAUCAUUAUUAUUUAGUUACAAGAACUUUGGCUCUGUGCAUGCUAGAUGCAGAGGCCGGGGAUGUAAUUC
RNAcentral lists this small RNA (263 nucleotides) under Oryza sativa Japonica Group (Japanese rice). RNAcentral's name for it is "misc RNA Os12g0556200". The record is from RNAcentral. Lineage: Eukaryota; Viridiplantae; Streptophyta; Magnoliopsida; Poales; Poaceae.